UAGGGAAUCUUCGGCAAUGGGGGGAACCCUGACCGAGCAACGCCGCGUGAGUGAAGAAGGUUUUCGGAUCGUAAAGCUCUGUUGUUAAGGAAGAACGAGUGUGAGAAUGGAAAGUUCAUACUGUGACGGUACUUAACCAGAAAGGGACGGCUAACUACGUGCCAGCAGCCGCGGUAAUACGUAGGUCCCGAGCGUUGUCCGGAUUUAUUGGGCGUAAAGCGAGCGCAGGCGGUUAGAUAAGUCUGAAGUUAAAGGCAGUGGCUCAACCAUUGUAUGCUUUGGAAACUGUUGAACUUGAGUGCAGAAGGGGAGAGUGGAAUUCCAUGUGUAGCGGUGAAAUGCGUAGAUAUAUGGAGGAACACCGGUGGCGAAAGCGGCUCUCUGGUCUGUAACUGACGCUGAGGCUCGAAAGCGUGGGGAGCGAACAGG
Molecule: ribosomal RNA, 429 nt
Filed under: Bacteroidota bacterium
Lineage: Bacteria; Pseudomonadati; Bacteroidota
Description: Bacteroidetes bacterium partial 16S ribosomal RNA
Rfam family: Bacterial small subunit ribosomal RNA
Source: RNAcentral